GACGAACGCUGGCGGCGCGCCUAACACAUGCAAGUCGAACGGAGUCAAGAGGAGCUUGCUUUUCUUGACUUAGUGGCGAACGGGUGAGUAACGCGUGAGUAACCUGCCCUGGAGUGGGGGACAACAGUUGGAAACGACUGCUAAUACCGCAUAAGCCCACGGAUCCGCAUGGAUCUGCGGGAAAAGGAUUUAUUCGCUUCAGGAUGGACUCGCGUCCAAUUAGCUAGUUGGUGGGGUAACGGCCCACCAAGGCGACGAUUGGUAGCCGGACUGAGAGGUUGAACGGCCACAUUGGGACUGAGACACGGCCCAGACUCCUACGGGAGGCAGCAGUGGGGGAUAUUGCACAAUGGGGGAAACCCUGAUGCAGCGACGCCGCGUGGAGGAAGAAGGUUUUCGGAUUGUAAACUCCUGUCGUUAGGGACGAUAAUGACGGUACCUAACAAGAAAGCACCGGCUAACUACGUG
Molecule: ribosomal RNA, 468 nt
Filed under: uncultured bacterium
Lineage: Bacteria
Description: partial 16S ribosomal RNA
Rfam family: Bacterial small subunit ribosomal RNA
Source: RNAcentral